CGCUAGCCAUUGGCUUAACACAUGCAAGUCGAGGGGCAGCAUGAAGUCUUGCUUGCAAACUUUGAUGGCGACCGGCGCACGGGUGAGUAACACGUAUCCAACCUGCCGAUAACUCGGGGAUAGCCUUUCGAAAGAAAGAUUAAUACCCGAUGGCAUGGAAAGUCCGCAUGGUCUUUCCAUUAAAGAACUUCGGUUAUCGAUGGGGAUGCGUUCCAUUAGAUAGUAGGCGGGGUAACGGCCCACCUAGUCAACGAUGGAUAGGGGUUCUGAGAGGAAGGUCCCCCACAUUGGAACUGAGACACGGUCCAAACUCCUACGGGAGGCAGCAGUGAGGAAUAUUGGUCAAUGGACGAGAGUCUGAACCAGCCAAGUAGCGUGAAGGAUGACUGCCCUAUGGGUUGUAAACUUCUUUUAUACGGGAAUAAAGUGUUCCACGUGUGGAAUUUUGUAUGUACCGUAUGAAUAAGGAUCGGCUAACUCCGUGCCAGCAGCCGCGGUAAUACGGAGGAUCCGAGCGUUAUCCGGAUUUAUUGGGUUUAAAGGGAGCGUAGGUGGAAGAUUAAGUCAGCCUGUGAAAGUUUGCGGCUCAACCGUAAAAUUGCAGUUGAUACUGGUUUUCUUGAGUGCAGUAGAGGUGGGCGGAAUUCGUGGUGUAGCGGUGAAAUGCUUAGAUAUCACGAAGAACUCCGAUUG
This 693-nucleotide ribosomal RNA is filed under the name uncultured Bacteroides sp. RNAcentral describes it as "bacterial SSU rRNA". It matches the Rfam family "Bacterial small subunit ribosomal RNA", at positions 34 to 715 of the family's 1533-position model. Lineage: Bacteria; Pseudomonadati; Bacteroidota; Bacteroidia; Bacteroidales; Bacteroidaceae. The record is from RNAcentral.